This 469-nucleotide ribosomal RNA is filed under the name uncultured bacterium. RNAcentral's name for it is "bacterial SSU rRNA". It matches the Rfam family "Bacterial small subunit ribosomal RNA", at positions 48 to 512 of the family's 1533-position model. The record is from RNAcentral.
UUUACACAUGCAAGUCGAACGGUAACAGGGUGCUUGCUCGCUUCACUAGUGGUAAACGGGUGAAUAAUGCAUCAGAGCCUGCCAAGUAGUGGGGGAUAACGCAACAAAAGUUGUGCUCAUACGGCAUACCUACUGAGGUCCAAAGGGGGGGACCUUCGGACCUCCCGCUCUUCCAGCGGCCGACGUCUGAUUAGGUAGUUAGUGAGGUAAAGGCUCACCUAGGCAACAAUCAGUAGCUGGUCUGAUAGGAUGAUCCGCCGCUCUGGCACUGAGACACUGACCAAACUCCUACAGUAGGCAGCAGUGGGGAAUUUUGGACAAUGGGCGAAAGCCUGAUCCCCCCAUGCCGCGUGGCUGAGGAAGGCCUUCAGGUUGUAAAGGACUUUUGUCCUGUAGGAAAUCCCUAAAGCUAAUAACACUGGGGGAUGACAGUACCUGAAUAAUAAGCACCANCUAACUACGUGCCUCC